This is a long non-coding RNA of Rattus norvegicus (Norway rat), 1221 nucleotides long. RefSeq lists it as uncharacterized. Lineage: Eukaryota; Metazoa; Chordata; Mammalia; Rodentia; Muridae. The record is from RefSeq and is a predicted model, not a curated record.
UCUGUGUGGCCUGUGUUCUAGAAUCUUCCUUCCAUGGAUCCGAACACAGCCCAGCCACAUCCUUCCCUGAGUCAGUCUUUGACUAAGAAACACAGCCUGUUCAUCUCUUCUCUGACGCCUUCCAUAUUGCCUUUGUAGAAAGCCGCUUUUCCUACAGCGAAGGCCAUGCGGCUGCUCAGCCACAUUUGGGAGGAGUAUCACGAAUUUCCUGGAUGCUGGUGCCAGAUACCUGAAAAGAACCACGACCUGGAUUUGCAUACAGAGCAUGGGCUGUGAUAAAUGCAAGCAUUGAGUUGAUACUCUAAGCAGGAUGCAGAGUAACCUGUCACCCCAGAAACUUCCUCGAAUCUUUUUGUACUUAUCCACAAAUACCUUGCUUUCUGCAAGGAACCUGCUAUUUUGAUGUCAAAGGUCGUUUUGCCUGCUCUUGAACCUCAUAUAAAUAGAAGCAAUAUAGACUUUGACAACUGAUCCUUCUGUGAAACAAAUGUUAGCGUGCCGAUGCCUGCAUUAGUGGUCUGUUCGUUUUUACUGCUUAAUUGUGCUCCAUACUCUAAAUGCACUGCACUGUACAGAUUCACUCUGGCACGGCCGACUUCUGGGGCGUUUCCAGUUUAAAGCUGACAUGAAGAGCCUUUUGCAAAUCCUUCGUGGUUAAGUUUUAUUUCUCUUGGGUAGGAGUAGAAUUACGAGAUCAAAGCAGCGAUGCAUGUGUAAGGUACAAGGAGCUGCCAAUGGUUUUCCAAAGAAGUUUCAUUUUACAUUUCUGUCAGCAGUCUGGGAGAACCCUGGCUGCUCGCUGCUCUCGGUCUUCCGCUCAGGUGUCCUGGGAGCCAUGAAAUCCCACCUCACUGUGGGCCGAAGUUUCCCUGAUGAUGUGAAGCUUUUUGCCAUGUGAUUAUUGACUAUCUGCAUAGCUUCUUUUGAGGAGUAUCUUCUCAAAGCCUUCCCCAUAUCAGUAUGGAAAUACCUUAUAAAUGGGUAGCCUGUAGGCAUGUCUAUACAGAGACAUAAAUUCCUUAGUCACUUUGUGGCUAUGUUCUCUAGUGUGUGGUGUGCCUUUUCAUUUUCUAAACAGCAGUUUAGAAAUUUUUACUUUGGUGAAAUCCCCUUUAUCAACCUUUUUCUUUUACUUGCCUGCCUGUUUGAAUGGUUUUGAAGCAUAAACUUCCAAAAGCCCACCUAAAAGUACUUCCAAUUAAAAAUUUAUUUUCAACAAAA